Long non-coding RNA from Scatophagus argus, 1106 nucleotides. RefSeq lists it as uncharacterized. Lineage: Eukaryota; Metazoa; Chordata; Actinopteri; Scatophagidae. The record is from RefSeq and is a predicted model, not a curated record. The transcript is spliced from 2 exons.
UGCAACAGAAAAAACUUCGUUCAAUGAGCUACAUUUAGCUCCGACUACUGCUCUGUAUUACUGUUAAACGUGUUUUAAUCGUGUUGUUAUUGGUUAUAUUUUGCUAUCGAGUCUGUGUCAUCGAUAUAUCGCGAAUUAACUGUCAUUAAAACCCCUUAAAUGUCAGCAUACUGCGCUCAGUCCGAUUCGGUUGUCCAAUAGAAAACAGCCUCGACGUGUGAGCGAGUGAUGUGGGCUGUUUAGUUUGGUUGUACUGGUUAGACAUAGUAAUUAAAUGCUUUUAAUUGUGGGUGAACCUGUUACGCCCAUAUUGUAUGCAGUAGGACGCGCAGUUUCAUUGUUUUAAUGUGGCGGGUGCAUUGACAACAUCGUAGCCUGUAUGUUGUGUCAGUAUCAGCGUUGACUCCGUUGAUGUAAGGCGACUCACCGCUGGUUGUAUCAUUUUAACUACAGAUACUUUACAGCUAAAUUCCGUGAGGCUGCAGUCAGUUGGCAGAGGAAAAUAUCAGACAGGACCAGAAAGCAGGACAGAAACGUCAGAAGCACCUGGACAGCUCAACAAGAAGUCACAAACGCUGUUUAAUUUCAAACACCUAAGGUGGAUGUUGUCUGCAUUUCGUUCAGCAAUGCCAUGUUCCCUUGGGACACGUCAAAAGCUCAAGGUGACCACAAAUCCUUCAGUGCCUGUAACAGCUACAGAGGAAUACAGUUUAAAGGAACAGUCCAUCCAGAAAUGCACAUUCUGUCAUUAUCUGCUCGCCCCCGUGCUGAUGGAAAGUCGGGUGAAGUUUCUCCCCUAAACAACUGGCAAGAUAUUGGAGUUCAGAGGACACAGACCGAAGACUGAGUUAACUUAUCUGAUGACAUUUCUGUCUUUCACUUUAUCAGUGCUUUUUAAGAUCAUGCACCUUUCGUCACAUCCCUUUCAAAAACAAACAAAAAGGUUCAGGAAAAAUUUGUCUUUGAAUUGUUGUUGAAGUUUUCACCUUAAAUACAUGUUUCACAUCUUUGCAACAAAAGUGUUUCUAUGAAGAAAUGACAAAUUGUAAAGUAUUUCCAGUGUGGUAUUUUGCCUGUACAAUACACAUUUUAUACAUGUCUCUUGA